This 10737-nucleotide long non-coding RNA is filed under the name Triticum aestivum (bread wheat). RNAcentral's name for it is "long non-coding RNA (TAES_LNC012707)". The record is from RNAcentral. Lineage: Eukaryota; Viridiplantae; Streptophyta; Magnoliopsida; Poales; Poaceae.
CCGCUUAUUUCCAUCAAAGACUCUGUUUCAUGGUACCCCACCUUCCAGAUUAUUAUCAGACAGAUACAAAUUGGUGAGGUGUUGCAAGCCACCCAGCACUCCUGGGAUGAAUCCCGAGAAAUUGUUUUGCUGAAGGUUUAGGUGUUGUAACAGCCCAAGAUUACCAAAAGAACUUGGAACUUGACCAACAAAAUUGUUGAAUGACAAGUCUAACCACUCUAGCCCAGAAAUAUUGCCUAGUGAUGCUGGGAGAUGACCUUCAAAAUUGUUAUCCUCCAAUGUGAGAUACCGAAGAUUCAGGAGGGUAUCACCAAGUUAAAUGGCAGCGUUUUCCCAAGCAUAUUGGAACUUAAGUCUAAAAUUUGGAGAGAACACUGAUUGUAUUUGUACAGGGUUUUCGGGAUUCCACCUGAUAGCCUAUUUUCAUAAAGGAGUAAAUGAGAAAGAUUUGGGAGUUUUCCCAACUCAUCAGGAAUGGUUCUGGUGAGCUUAUUAUCGUCAAGCGAGAUGUGUUCAAGCUGACUGCUGUUUUUUAGGCUUGGUGGGAUUUCUCCGGUCAGAUUAUUGAAGGAAAGAUCUAACCACACUAGAUUAGACAGGAGAUCUAUACCGCUGCGAACUUCUCCUAUUAGUAAGUUGCCAGACAGGGAUAGGUACCGUAGAUUGGAGCAGUUUGUAAGAGUAUCCGGAUUGAUCCCUUGCAGUGAGUUGUACCGCAAGUCAAGGAACUUCAAUCUUUGGAGACGGUUGAAAGGAGGUAUCACACCGGUGAAGCCAUUAUGGGACAGUUCCAGUCUCAAAAGGAACGUUAGAUUCCCGAGGGACGGUGAAAUCAUGCCCGACAACGCUAGGUCCUCAAGAUUCAGCCCGGUGACUCGCCCUGGGUGCUUCGGGUCACUACAGUCGACGCCCUCCCAACUGCAAUAGGGGAUGCCGGUGUGCCAUGUUCUCAAGGCUUGCCUGGAGUCGUUGGUGAUGGCCCGCUUGAAAUCUGGCAGCAAGAUCAUGUCCGUGCUGUUGUCAUGGACUGUUGUCGUUGAGGAGGAGCAAUGGAUGCUGCCGACUCCACAAGAAACGAGCAGCAACGACAGUAGCGUUAGGAUGUGGACGAGCCUCACCGGUUGAGUGGUACAUUUCACCGUUUCGUGUUGACAUGCCAUUAUGCUUUCAUUAUGUAGGUGUGUCCAAAUUGGUGUUAUGGAAAAGACGAGUCUUGGGCGGCAUUGGUGGAUGUUUGGUGUGAUACGGAUGGAGCCUGGGCGGCUACGAGCAUAAAAAACAAGGCUAACCGAGGUAGGGAGGGAGUACAUACUCAAGGAAAUCGAAACCACUUUCUCCACAAGGCACUUAAUGUAUGACUAACCUCAUUAAACAUUCUUCUUCUUCUAUUUACCGUCACUUUCUUAUGUAUGACUAACCUCUGUUUGGUGGUGCAGGAGGAGAAACUGGAGCGGCCGCUCUCACACAUGGAGGCGUGGGAGAUCGCCCAUACGCGGAAGGACUCCAAGCCUGGCGAGCCCAAGUACUACGGCAAGAAGACCGCGCAGAGGAAGAAGGCCUACUCCGAUGGGUAUCUGAUGUUACAUCCUGACACACCUGACCCCAUUGCGGCGGAUCUGGACGAGAGGGUAGUGGUGGGCAUGGGUCCCAAGGAGCACGGCCGGGAGGCGGUUCUCAUUGCUGUGAUCACUCCUACUAUCUCCUACACACAGCUUCGUCGGAUUGACCCGAGUCUGAGCCAGCGCACGAGCACGCCCAUGACCAGUGCACAGUCACAAUCCCUCUUUCAGGAGCGGCAAUCUGUAAGUAUUUUCCCUCUUAUCUUCAUUGCUCACUUUAUUUUCCGCAUUUAGUAGUUUUAUGAGUUCCAUCAUGUCAUACCAUAGGCCUACAUGGAGUACACACGCUAGGAGACCAUGGCAUGGCACGAGAGCCUUCAUGCAUACCAUCAGGAGAGGGAUCGCAGGAUGCAGCACGCUCUUGAGGAAAUGGCGGCCGGCAGGUUUCCUCAAUUGCAACCAGUAGUAUCUCCUCCAGCACAACCAAGGCUGCUUACCUUUGAGGAGUUUCUGGCACAGAACGCCAACCCCUCACCGGUUAGUUCAUCCCCAAUCUAUUCGCCCAAAUCAUAUCAUGCCUUUCAACACAGUCAUAUAUCCCGUUAACAUGUCUUUUCAACAUUCAGGGAACCGAUGGAUCAACCGUUGGUGGUGGUCUUCGCAGCACUCCGGAGUCACGAAGCCCGACCACUCCGAUCCAGGGAGGCGGAGGCGGAGGUGGAGGCGGUCUUGGCGGUAGCGCUGCCGCUAGCAGUGAUUACUUGGGCUUCGGCGGGCUUGGCGGUGACGACCUCCGCGGUGCUCGGCGUCCUGGCGCUUAAGCCUUUCGGUUACUUGUGUGCUUAUGCUUAUGUUUCUUUAGAUGACUUGUGUGCGGUGAUGAAGAUGAUAAACUUGUGGUCUUUGAUGGUCCUUUAGAUGACUUGUGUGCUUCUUUAUAUGCUUAUGCUUAUGUUGAUUGUGAUGAUGCUUAUGCAUAUAUUGUUGUGACGGUGCCGGAUGAUAUAGAUGUGUUCUAUAUGUCUAUGUCCAUCAUAUAUAUCUACCUGUAUAUUUGAAUUGAAUUGAUCUGAAAACAAACAGAAAAAAGAAAAAAUCAAAUACAAACUAUGCCGACGACUAUGUCGUCAGCAUAGUGCUGACGUGAGCGCCUAGUUGCUGACACGUGGCAGAUAUGCCGACGGCCUAGCCGUUGGCAUAGUUUGAAACUAAGCCGACAGCUAGGCCGUCGGCGUAGCUGCCACGUGUCAGCAACUGGGCAAAACUAGGGCAGGGCUAUGCCGACGGCAUAGCCCUGCCCUAGUAGAUGCCAUGUGGCGAGCGGUCGUUGGUUAGCACUUGACGGCGGCCGCCGUUAGGCGAAAACGUUGCCGACGGCCCGGGCCGUCGGCAUAGAUGUACGAACUCCGUCGGGAUAGGUCCUAUGCCGACGGCCUUUCUAUGCCGACGGCCCCUCGGGCUACGCUGACGGAUAUGUUGCCGACGGCCCUAUUGCCGACGGGGGCCGCCGGCAUAGACCUGUCCCGACGGGAAUCAUGGCCAGGGCCGUCGGCAUAGGGUGCGAUUCUGGUAGUGAAAUUACGGAGCAACUUUUUUGUAUGCAUUGUGCAUCAUUUUUCCAAGAAAAUGAAGGUGCGAGUGCUGAAGAACUGACAAUUCUAUUCCUGUUCACUCUUAAGGAAUAAUGGAAAUUUGUGAAUUUUCUUUUAACUUUUUCGACAUGACAUAGGAUGGUGUCCAAACUAGUCCACUCCUUUAUCUCCAAAGGAGAAUAGAGAAGUAUCUGGUCCAAGCUAAUGACCGAAUCUUGGGUAGAAAUUCCAACCUCAGCCUGUCAUUGUUGUCUGUCUCAAUCAACAAAAUCUAGCUGCAACUUGACUACAGGAAAAGUUUGCCCUGAUGACAAGACCAUACUCCUAUAUAUUGCAGCAUAAGAGAGAAGCUGCUCUAUCUCUUUUCCAUCUGCCAUUUCCGACCAACAUGAUUAAGCUUGCGCUCCUCAUCCGAGGAACUGCGUUGCUCCUUUGCCUAUUGAUCUGCCGAGCAGCAUCCACUUCCCAUGGUCCAGCGAGUGCAUCAAGAGCCUGCAUUGGCGACGAGCGAGAUGCGCUUCUGUCCUUCAAGGCAAGCCUCCUGGACCCUGCUGGUCGUCUGUCAUCAUGGCAGGGCGACGACUAUUGUCGAUGGAAGGGAGUCCAGUGCAGCAACAGAACUGGCCAUAUCAUCAAGAUCAGCCUCGGCAGCAUCGACAAGUAUGGCCACACGAGCAGAUGGUUGAGCUUGUCAGCAGGAGAGAUGAGCUCUUCUUUGGCUACUUUACAACACCUGAGGUAUCUUGAUCUGAGCAGGAAUUACUUCAACGGCACAAGCAUCCCUGUGUUCUUGGCUUCUCUCAAGAACCUAAGGUAUCUCGACCUCUCGUAUGUUGGAUUCACAGGAACAAUACCUUCCCAACUUGGCAAUCUCUCAAAGCUGCAAUAUCUAGAUGUCAGUUGGAAUUCUUUUGAUUCGGAUAGUUACCCAGUGAAUCUUGCAUGGUUGCCACGUCUCUCUUCUUUGAGCCAUCUCGACAUGAGCGGUGUUGAUCUUAGUUUUUCCAAGGAUUGGCAGAUGGUGAACAUGCUUCCUUCUCUUAAAGUGCUUUGCCUGAGCUCCUGUGAACUCAAUCUUCCCGUAUCUGCUAGCAUGUCACAUUCCAACCUCACACAUGUCGAGAUACUUGAUUUGUCUUAUAACAAACUCUAUACUAAUUCACUCAAGCACGCAUGGUUUUGGAAUCUCACAAGCCUUGAGGAGCUUUCUUCACUUGGAAGGGGCCAUUCCUAGUAACUUGGCAAGCAUGACGUCCCUUCAAGUCAUAGACUUCAGUGGGAACAAACUUGUGGGUCUGAUACCAAACAAAUUAGAUAAUCUGUGCAAUUUGACAAUAAUGAGGUUUAGCGAUAUCAACACUGGUUUGAGCAUAGGGGAGUUCAUGGAGCGAUUGCCAAAGUGUGCAUGGAAUACAUUGCAAGAAUUGUCAGCGCAGGGUGCAAAUAUGACCGGGAUCUACCCAUUUGGAUUGGGAACUUGACCGGUCUCGCCGUUCUUCAAGCAUCUCAAAACAUGUUAACUGACCCUCUACCUAUAGGAGUUGGAGCACUCGGUAAUUUAAAAAUGUUGGACAUCAGCUAUAAUAAAUUCAGCAGUGUGCUCAUGGAGGAGCAUUUCGCGGGCCUACUGAAUUUAGAGUAUCUGGACUUGUGACUAAUGACUGGGGUAGUGUAAUCUUUAUGGAUGAACAUGUGACCAAGACAAGGGAUGUACUUUUCUCUGCUUUGACUGUCCAAGUCGUUAUAAGCUUUUUUCCGAAUAACUACAGAAUUAGAAGAGUCAGCAUGACAAGACCUAGACAUGGACUAAGCUUUUCUUGUAGAUCAUACAAUAGGAGUGGUCGGUAACUGGCCAGUGGCUAGCAUGACAUAUCCUGAUGAUUAUUUCUGAAACUAUCUGAUGCGGAGCAUCCUAUGGUCAUCACCAUGUCAAGAGUCCAUUUGGCAAGUGACACGUGCCACAUCUACUUCACAUACAUAAAGGUGAAUCUUCUCCUUUACACGUGUUCACUUGACCCCUUUAAGGAUGGUAUACUACUUGACAUUCCUUCCGUGUGCAUGCAAGGUAUUGUCGGAGCUUCACACAUAGCGAGGAUGAGUUCAUGCGGAAGAGAACAUCUACACCAUCCAAGAGGGAAGCCUGGAAGCGGAGAAGGAAGCGCCAAGAAGAAGGCAGUAGCUCCCAGGCGACCCCGUGCACACGGGCCCCUCCGACCCCGUGCCCACGGGCUGUCACAUCCCUGGUCCUGGUAUGCAGUAGGCUAGCCCUUCAUGUGUGCAUCAUGUUUAACUUUUCAAAUGAAUUGAAAUGGGGAUGUUCUAACCCUAGCACCAAAUGGAAUUCAAAUAGGUUCAACCUAAAAAUAAUUUUAGUGAAUCCAAAUGGCUUUCAAAAAUGUUCAUCAUUUCUGGAAAAUGCUAAGAACCAUAACCAGAGGUGUUGCACAUCUUUCCAUGACAUAUCUGGUCACUGAAUUAAAUCAUAUGUACUUUGCAUUUGGGCAUUUAAAUGCUAGUAAAUAUGUUAGAUGCUCAAAUAAUUAUGAACUUAAGUGUGGGCUAUUAGGAAUAAUCCCAACAGAGCCCACAAUUAUUUGCAGGAUUUUUGGGAACGUUUUAGUAUUUUUAAUAAAGCCAUCAAAUUGCAGAAGAAAUAGAAAAGAGAAAUAAAAAUAGGAAAGAACAGAAGGCCACCAGGCCACCUACCUAACCUACCUGGCGGCCCAGCUGCGGCCCAGCACUGUUGGCCCAGCCCAGCAGUCGCCCCCACCGUCUUCAACCUCCUGCUAGUAGGUAGGAGGGCGUGUGCCCGACGCGCGCCAGCACGCACGCGCCACCUCCUGCUUGCCGCUUCACCCCCGCUUCUUCGGGUGGCGCCACGCACGCCCCCUGGAACCCCCUCGCGCUCUCCCUCGCUCCUUCCCCCCCUCCUCUGUUUCUGUUACGCACGGCCGCCGAGCGCAGCCGUCGCCCCGACGAGCACCACCACGGCCACCGUCCAUCCCGUGCCUCUCCGAUGAGUCCAGAGGAACCUCCAUCGCCUUCUGCGUCUUCUACACCAACCCAUUUGACCGCGGGAGCCCUGUAGCGUCUUCCUGGAGCUCGUUCCCGACCUCCGGCCGCCGGCGAACUUUCGGGGAUUCGCGAGCUCCAGCCCCUCCCCGGCUUCGCCGUUGCCUCUACCGGAUCCGCUGUGAGCUCCUCUUCCUCUCCCCCUUCUCCCCUGGUCGCGCCCGCCCUCUAGGCCAUAGCUCCGUCACGGCCGAACUCCGGCCGCCGCUGACCUUGUCGCCGCUGCCGCUACGGACGCUGCAGCUUGCGCCCGAGUGCAUCAUCGUUCUCACCUCGCUCCUAGGAGCCGAACGCACCUAGUAGCUCGUCCGUAGCCGCACCGUAGCCCUGCGCUCGUGCACCACCGAGCUCCGGCCACCGCGGCCGAGCUCCUCGCCGUCGCUACCGGCCACCCCAGCCGCUAACUUCAGUCCCGUUGGAUGCGGAAGAGCGCCAGCCACGCGUAGAGCCUCUCCGCCGCUCGUUUGGCCUCCGGAGACGCAAACCCGAGCCGUUCCGCCGUGUCUGACCUCGCCGGCGUCGAGUCGCCGGCGGGUUUGACUCGUUUGACCGCGGUUGACCACUGGUUUGACCUUCCCUGACAUAUGGGCCCAAGCCCCUAAUUAGUUAACUCGAGAUUAAUUAGAGCUAACUAAUUUAGUUAACUAAACUAGACACUGACAUGUGGGCCCCGCCCUGCUAACAGCCUGGUUAGGGUUAGUUUAGCACUAACUAACUCAGUUAGUCGACCGAGUCACUGACCAGUGGUUCCCCAGGUCAGGUUUGACCUGGACGGCGCCUUUGACCUGAUGACGUCACCCCGACGUCAUGCUGACGCAUUAAUUCAAUUACUGGAAUUAUUUUUAUACAGGAAAUUCCAGAAAAUAACCAAAACUUCUAAAAUUCACAGAAAUUCAACCGUAGCUCAGAAUGAAAUAAUUUAUAUAUGAAAAAUGAUCAGAAAAAUCCAAUCUAUCCAUCUGUACCAUUUUCAUGCAUGUUAGAACAACUUAUAGCUGCUGUUUAGCACAAAUCAUUUAAAUGACAUUUAAACCUUCACAUAUGGAGUUUGAACUUGAAUCUUUGAUUCAAACCAGCUUCAUUUAAUCUGGUUGCUAGUUGCAUUAGCUCAAACCAUAGCAUAUUGCCAUGUCAUGAUCAUGCAUCAUAUUGUGCAUUUGCAUUGAUUGUGUUUCUUUCUCAGUUGCCGGUAAUUGCCCCCUCUCGAUAGACGCGAUCCGACGAUGAGUUCGAUGACACCGAUGAAGAACUAUAUUAUCUUCAGAAGUGCCAGGCAAGCAAAACCCCCUUGUUCAUUCCGAUACAAUCCCACUCUCUCGCCCUGCUCUCUUUUACUGCAUUAGGACAACAACGAUUCAUCUGUUACUUGCUGCGGUAGUUGAACCCCUUAUCCUCUGCAUGACCUGUCAUUGCCACAGUAAAUAGAUGAAACCCACUAGCAUGAGUAGGAGUUGUUUGAGCCCUGAUGUGCCUACUCAUUCAUGCUUGUUUGUCAUGCCUGCUACUGCUUAGAGUUGAGUCGGGUCUGAUUCAUCGAGGAUGAAUCAGAGGUGUGUGAACAUGUCCUACUGCGUGUGAGCUAAGUGUGUGAACACGAUUUGGUAAAGGUAUCGGUGAGAGGCCAUGUAGGAGUACAUGGUGGGUUGUCUCAUUGAAGCCGUCCUUAGGAACUGAGUUCUGUGUUUGUGAUCCAUGAUUCAGCUACUACCAUGCAUUGGGCCCUGAAAUAUGACCCCGCUCGACUUCUUAUUCACCCUUGUCCUCUGUCCAGGAGUUGCAAGUAGUUUCUGGUGUUUGUAGUAUGCUGGAGGCCGUGCGCAGUGCUGACCGUAGGGGUGGGCUGUGAUGCGGUAGGCACGUAACCGGGUAAACCGGGCGCCCGUUUGGUGUCACGGAACCCUGUUCACAUCGUUUGGGGCUGUGAGCGAAACUUCGGCCGGAUCUCCUCAUGGAUGGAACCCAAAUAGGCGAUAAACCUGGACUAGAGACUUGAGUGUCUAGGUAGGUCGUGGUCUACACCCACGUCGGCUUUCGCUUGAAGUCUGCCGAGCACAUGUCGUGUGCAAACGCUAAGUGGUGGAAAUAUGUAUGAAGAAGUACACCCCUGCAGGGUUAAUAUCAUCUAUUCGAAUAGCCGUGUCCGCGGUAAAGGACUUCUGGGUUGCCUAUAACAGUUCAUAGACAAGCGAAAGUGGAUACUUUAAAAUACGCAAGAUAAGCAUGAGUGCUAUGGAUGGCGUUCCCGUAGGGAGACGGGAGCGGAUCCAUAGUGGUGUAUUGAUAUGGUGAAUAUGUGGACUCGUGUGCGCCAUCUCAAAGGAGUUACUUGCAGUCAUAGUUAGGAUAGCCACCGAGUCAAAGCUGGCUUACUGCAGUUAAACCCCACCAUCCCUUUGUUGAUAAUGAUGCAUAUGUAGUUAGUUCUGAUGUAAGUCUUGCUGGGUACAUUUGUACUCACGUUUGCCUAUUUUAUGUUUUUGCAGAGAGACUUCAGUCUCGCUAGUAGUUCCACGUGGACUUCGACGUUUAGCUUGUUACCUCAGCUACGAUCUUGUGCCCUCGGCAGGAUCUAGUAGAUAGUCAGGCUUCUAGGCCUUUUUCAUUUGUAGAUGUCUGUACUCAGACAUGAUAAGCUUCCGCAUGUGCUUGAUCUGUAUGCUCUGAAUGUUGGGUCAUGAGACCUAUGUUUGUAAUAUCUCGCUCCUCAGAGCCUAAUGAAUAAAUACUUGAGUCGUAGAGUCAUGUUGUGAUGCCAUGUUGUAUUUGCACAUAUCGAGCAUAUUGUGUGUAUGUUAUUGAAAUGCUUGGUAUGUGUGGGAUCUGACUAUCUAGUUGUUUAUCUUUAGUAGCCUCUCUUACCGGGAAAUGUCUCCUAGUGUUUCCACCGAGCCAUGGUAGCUUGCUACUGCUCCGGAACACUUAGGCUGGCCGGCAUGUGUCCUCCUUCGUUCCUGUGUCUGUCCCUUCGGGGAAAUGUCACGCGUUGAGUACCGGAGUCCUGUUAGCCCGCUACAGCCCGGUUUACCGGAGUCCUGCUAGCCCAGUGCUACAGCCCGGAACUUACUCGCUGAUGACCGACACGUUCGAUGCUGGGUCAUGGAUGCCUGUCCCUGUAAGUCUGUGCCACUUUGGGUUUACGACUAGUCAUGUCAGCCCGGGCUCCUUUUCAUAUGGAUGCUAGCGACACUAUCAUAUACGUGUGCCAAAAGGCGCAAACGGUCCCGGGCAAAGGUAAGGCGACACCCGUGGGGAUACCGUGCGUGAGGCCGCAAAGUGAUAUGAGGUGUUACAGGCUAGAUCGAUGUGACAUUGAGUCGGGGUCCUGACACGGGCCCCCCAGGCUGGCGGUCCUGAAGACCCCGUGCGCACGGGCGUGUACCGUGCCCACGGGACCCCCGUGUCCACGGGCCUCACAGACCCCGUGCGCACGGGCUCAUGCGUCAGGUCCCUGGAGACCCCGUGCGCACGGGGCCCCAUGUGCGUGGCUGUUGGGCUUGGCCCUUGUAUCCCCAUCUCGUCCCUCCUUACCCCUUCAUCCCUUGGACCUAUAUAUACUCCCCUUCCUCCUCCAUUUACACUUAGCUAAGAAUAGAUAAAAAUCAUAGAGCUUAGCUCAUGUAUCUCUCCUUGUGGGAUUCCUCUUGAGAGAGAAGACUCCAUUGGAGUACAAGACCCCCAUUGGAGAAGAUCCUUAGGGAUUCAAGACCCCCUUGAGGGAAGGAUCUAUCUAGAUCAUGAAGCCCUCAUCUCCUUCAUAGGAUUUGGGAUGAACUCUACCAUGUAUCUUGUUUCCCUUUGAUUGUUCAUGUACCUUGUGGAUCUUGUGUGUUUGUUGGUCUAGUGGAUGUGUGAUUGGACUUGUUCUUGAGUGUUCCUCUUGUUUUCUCUCUUGUGUUCAUCUUGUUCUUGGGUAUUCCCCCUUCAAUUCGUGAAAGAUCUCCACUUAGGGUUCCACCCUACAACACUAUCCUUUUGAUUUGUUUGCAGAUUGCUGAGCACUGAGAGCCACGAUCUCACCGAAUCAUUUAUUGCAAAAGAGAAGGUUGGGAAGGUCCAAACCCUGAGAAUUACACACGGACAAAAAACAAAACAAAACAAGAGUGACAGGUUUGCUCUUGACGUCUUGGUGAGCAUAAAAUAGAUCAACAGUAUGGUGUGGCAUGAAACUAGAAUGAAUACUCUAUAUGAUCAGGUAGUACAUAAUGCGUAUCUUUUGUCCAAUACAUAGUAGGACAUGGGACCAGAUCCAGUUUUCCUUCAAAGGAGUUCCCACUGUUUGCUUCCAAUACCAAUAAAGGCUCUUACCCCGCUUAUUUCCAACACAAAGACACUGUUUCAUGGUACCCCACCUUCCAGAUUAUUAUCAGACAGAUACAGAUUGGUGAGGUGUUGCAAGCCACCCAGCUCUCCUGGGAUGAAGCCCGACAAAUUGUUUUGCUGAAGGUUUAGGUGUUGUAACGGCCCAAGAUUACCAAAAGAACUUGGAACUUGACCAACAAAAUUGUUGAAUGACA